AUGGCGUACAGGGUGCUGGAGGUGACCCUCCAGUCGGCCAGGAACCUCAAGAACGUCAACCUCAUGUCGCGCCUCGAGGUGUACGCCGUCGCCACCAUCUCCGGCGACCCCAUGACGCGCCAGUGCACCCCGCCCGACCCCUACGGCGGCCGCCACCCCACCUGGAACACCACGCUCCGCUUCACUGUCCCGCCCACCGCCGCCGCGGGCGCCAGCGGCUGCCUCCACGUCCUCCUCCGCACCGAGCGCUCCCUCGGCGACCGCGACGUCGGCGAGGUCGUCGUCCCGCUCACCGAGGUCCUCGGCCUCGGCGGCUCCUUCCGCGACCCGCGCGACCUCGGCCCCCGCCCGCCCCAGUUCGCCGUCUACCACGUCCGCAGGGUGCACCGCCCCGCCGACACCUACGGCGUGCUCUACCUCUCCUACCGCCUCGGCGGCGUCGUCCUGCCGCAGCCUCACCCUCAUGCGCCGCACCCGCACCACGACCACGCUGCCGCUCACGAAGAAGACCACGUCGUCGCGUACCCGGUGGCGGCGCGGCCGUCGUUCCAUCACCACCAGCCGUACGCCUACAUGCCGGCCCCGACGCUCAUGCCGCCGCCGCCGCCGCACUCCGCGCAGGCUUCUUCCGGUUCCGGUGCGCACAUGUCGUCCUCGCCACCGUCUCCGCGGGAUUAUAGCGGGCAUAUGGCCCUGCAUCCGCCGCUUUCAAAGGCUUACGGUUACGGGCACCUGUCGAUGCCGCCGCCGCUCCAAGCCUCCGGGCACACGGCGACGCCCCCGGCGCCUCAAAGAGCAGCAGCCGGGUACAACGCAGCCGGCUCGCCGUGGACGAACGCGAGGAAUAACGGCGGCGCUGACUUGGGCCGCAUGGGGCUGAGCGCCGGCGACAUGAUGUCGGACGCCGCGGCGUACAACGCCGGGUACAGGGCCGGGAUGGCCCGCGAGUGGAGCGGGGUCCGCGGGGCCGCCGUGUACUAG
RNAcentral lists this ribosomal RNA (981 nucleotides) under Triticum aestivum (bread wheat). RNAcentral's name for it is "partial small subunit ribosomal RNA". The record is from RNAcentral. Lineage: Eukaryota; Viridiplantae; Streptophyta; Magnoliopsida; Poales; Poaceae.